UGGUUCUUUAAUAUUUUAUCAAUGUAAAAAGAAGUUGUAGUAGUCACACAAUUUUACAAUUUUUGAAAACACACUUAGUGUUGUUCAGUGUUUCCUAGUAAAACUCAUUUCUGCAUUGUUUAUUUUUUAAUUUGUUCUUCAUUGCUUGCUUUGCAAUAGAACAUGUGUUUGCAAUUGUAUUUAGCAAAAUUCAUGAUCUUAACAUUGUACACCAAAGUCAAUGUGCCUUCCUGGCACAAAACAGCCAGUAUUCAAACACUUUUCUAACGUUUGAGGUUUCUGUCUCAAUUGACAAAAUUGAAAAAUAUGUAUUAGCCAAGCAAAACCACUAUCUCAAAGCCAUGUUGAAAAUUACUCCAACCUGUCAAAGUCAAUUGAAAUUCCCUUCCCAGUCCAGUUCUCAACUUCAUUUUGUAUGUGAAAUAGAAAAAGUUGGAUUUGAUUAUAACCACAUGCAGAGGGAAUCAAGAAAUCACAUAUAUCUUAUAAAUCUCAUACUACAUACGGUUUUCUUUUCAAAGAAUUUUGUCUUUCUUUUUCUUUUUCCAUCAUUUAUCCCAUCUCACCUGUUCUGAAUAAGUCACGUAUUUGUAGCGUCUGUACACGAGCAGUUAACUAGCAGUGAGUCGUGUAGCACAUUAAAACAUCCUUGCUGUACCACAUCAUUCACACCUUGGAGAUGGAACAACCCUAAAGGAAGAGAUCUAAGAUCUGUCCCUGAUGCAGGUCCAGUAAUUUGGGAUGUUGCUCAAUGUCAGUAUAUUUUCUAUUAUUUCCUACGUUUGUAUCCCAACUACAGUGGUCUAACCAUGGUGCCCAGUUGCUGUUAAUCCAGUUCUAACAAAAGGGCAAAAGUUCACUAUGGAAGCAAGUUCCCUUCUUUAAGAUGAAAAUCAAUUUUUUUUUCACACUAGAAAAAGCCGUGAUCCAGAACACAGGAGGGGAAACACAAGGUUAUACACAAGAUGAGGAGCAUGACUAAAACAUUACCCUGCCCCUCGUCAAUGUUGGGCAAUACAAGCUGCCUGAAAGUUAGAGCCCAUAAAAUCCCUGGCAAAAUUUAGGAGAAUAACAAAAACAAAAUAAUGGCAGCCACUGGGGAAAAGAAAGGCAGGUCACUUGGAGUCAACAAUAUGAUUUCCAUCUAUAAAAUCAACCCAGAGUCCAUUGUAUUCAACGCUUAUGGGCAUUAUCUAAAGGACAAAGCAGAAUGUGUCCAAAGAAGUCUAAGAGACCAAUAUAAGCUGUGUAUCACAUCUCAGUUCACUGUUAUUUAUUGAUGAGAUAUUCUGGAAUAUUCAUCAAGGCUUUGAUGUAAAUAUUUCUUUCUCAUCUUAAGUAGGGUAAUUGAGACUCUGGUGGAAUAAAUGAUGCAUUCAAGAUUAGCCAGCAUGUUACUACCAAAGAAUGAAAUGAAUUAGAAGCUAAUUUUCAGGCCCUCGAAUGAUUUGAGAUACUCAACCAUUUGGGGUGAGUGAAGUUUUGGAUUCUAGUUUGAGAUACUUAGACUUUUCAUUGUUUAUACUUGUCUAUGGGUGAAAUGUAACUUCAAGGGAGAACAGUGUACUCUCUGUACACUCUGUAGAACGGUGUACUCUCUCUUCCACUCCCACAGCAAUCAUGGAAGGACUUGCUUUGGAAGUGCCAGAUGAUCGAAUUAGCCUGGGGUUCUGAGCUCCCACAUGGAAGACAGCUGCCCUGGAAAGUUGCCUGUACCCUCAGCAGACCUUGAGAGAGCAAAUAAAUAAACUGUUGUAUAUUAAGCCACUGGGAUUUUGGUAUUGUUUGUUUCCAAAUCGUAAUGUAACCUAUCUUGACCGAUAUACCAACCGUUAUAAAAAUACCGUUAAUAUAUUUGAAUUUAACUUUCCAGUAUUAUUUUUUAUAUAUAGAUGUAUAUAGAAAUUUGGAUCAUUUUGUACACGUUAUUUUGUAAACUUUUCUUUACCAAAUAAUAUAUAGCGAACAUUUUACCAAGUCAUUAAAUAUUUUUCUGCAAAACUCUA
Long non-coding RNA from Equus caballus (horse), 2006 nucleotides. Lineage: Eukaryota; Metazoa; Chordata; Mammalia; Perissodactyla; Equidae. The record is from Ensembl.